CGGGGACAGCGGAGACAGGUGGUGCAUGGUAGUCGUCAGCUCGAGUCGUGAGAUGUUGGGUAAGUCCCGCAACGGGCGCAACCCUUGAUCUUAGUUGCCAGCAUUCAGUUGGGCACUCUAAGGUGACUGCCGGUGACAAACCGGAGGAAGGUGGGGAUGACGUCAAAUCAUCAUGCCCCUUAUGACCUGGGCUACACACGUGCUACAAUGGACGGUACAAAGGGCAGCCAACCCGCGAGGGGGAGCCAAUCCCAGAAAACCGUUCUCAGUUCGGAUUGCAGGCUGCAACUCGCCUGCAUGAAGCCGGAAUCGCUAGUAAUCGUGGAUCAGCAUGCCACGGUGAAUACGUUCCCGGGCCUUGUACACACCGCCCGUCACACCACGAGAGUUUGUAACACCCGAAGUCGGUGAGGUAACCCUUGUGGAGCCAGCCGCCGAAGGUGGGACUGAUGAUUGGGGUGAAGUCGUAACAAGGUAACC
This 480-nucleotide ribosomal RNA is filed under the name uncultured bacterium. RNAcentral describes it as "bacterial SSU rRNA". It matches the Rfam family "Bacterial small subunit ribosomal RNA", at positions 1020 to 1501 of the family's 1533-position model. The record is from RNAcentral.